AACACCAGGGAGGAGACAAGAACAAAGCAUGGCAGAACAGUGGGAUCCCAGGGAYRGCAGAGAGACUGGCAGCUGGCAGUACCAAGGAAGCUUCCUAAGAGUGGACAGACCCGGAGGAGUCUGGAGGGGCCAGCAGGUGUCAGCAGAAUUGAUGAACUAAUGAACCAGCAAAUGAGCCUUAAAGAAUAUCCUGGCCUGUGAACUGACAAGGAAACUGAUGCCGGGGACUGGGGAUUCAGCUCAGUAGCAGAAGCUUGCCUAGCUUGAGAGAGGCCCUGAGUUCCAUCUCCAAUGCCACAAAAAAAGAAAGAAAAAGAAAAACUGAAGUCCAAAGGGGUCRAAGGAUCCCAUCACACACAUAGGAGAUGAGAUAUGAUGAGGUGGACUCCCCUGCUGUUGACCUGGCUCUCAAAAACAAAGUGAUUUCCUCCCAUGGAAAAGAAAUAAAUGAAUUGGGGGACUGCUUUUGUUCUUCAUCUGCUUUUAAUUAGACUGUGACCUGGACAAGUAUCCCAUCUGGACCUGUUUCUCAUCCAUACAUGCUGGCCUCCACCCACAACUGAUCUCAUUACAUAUCUAUCAUUGUCUUCCAUUCAAACUCAUCUAACUGCUGACUA
This is a long non-coding RNA of Urocitellus parryii (Arctic ground squirrel), 617 nucleotides long. RefSeq lists it as uncharacterized. NCBI's taxonomy places the organism in Eukaryota, Metazoa, Chordata, Mammalia, Rodentia, Sciuridae. The record is from RefSeq and is a predicted model, not a curated record.